GAUGAACGCUAGCGGCAGGCCUAACACAUGCAAGUCGAGGGAGAAGCCCUUUCGGGGGCAGACACCGGCGCACGGGUGCGUAACGCGUAUGCAACCUACCUUUCACAGGGGGAUAGCCCGAAGAAAUUUGGAUUAAUACCACAUAAUAUUAUUGGAUGGCAUCAUGUGAUAAUUAAAACUGCGGUGGUGAAAGAUGGGCAUGCGUCCUAUUAGCUAGUUGGAGUGGUAACGGCACCCCAAGGCUACGAUAGGUAGGGGUCCUGAGAGGGAGAUCCCCCACACUGGUACUGCGACACGGACCACACUCCUACGGGAGGCAGCAGUGUGGAAUAUUGGUCAAUGGUCGCAAGACUGAACCAGCCAUGCCGCGUGCAGGAAGAAUGCCUUAUGGGUUGUAAACUGCUUUUAUAUGGGAAGAAUAAGGCGUACGUGUACGUUGAUGACGGUACCAUAUGAAUAAGCAUCGGCUAACUCCGUG
Molecule: ribosomal RNA, 478 nt
Filed under: uncultured bacterium
Lineage: Bacteria
Description: partial 16S ribosomal RNA
Rfam family: Bacterial small subunit ribosomal RNA
Source: RNAcentral